RNAcentral lists this ribosomal RNA (459 nucleotides) under uncultured bacterium. RNAcentral describes it as "partial 16S ribosomal RNA". It matches the Rfam family "Bacterial small subunit ribosomal RNA", at positions 338 to 795 of the family's 1533-position model. The record is from RNAcentral.
CCUACGGUGUGCAGCAGUGAGGAAUAUUGGUCAAUGGCCGAGAGGCUGAACCAGCCAAGUCGCGUGAGGGAAGACGGCCCUACGGGUUGUAAACCUCUUUUGUCGGGGAGCAAAGCGAACCACGUGUGGUUCAUUGAGAGUACCCGAAAAAAAAGCAUCGGCUAACUCCGUGCCAGCAGCCGCGGUAAUACGGGGGAUGCGAGCGGUAUCCGGAUUUAUUGGGUUCAAAGGGUGAGCAGGCGGAGGUGCAAGUCAGCGGUCAAAUUGCGGGGCUCAACCCCGUACUGCCGUUGAAACUGCAUCCCUUGAGUGCGCGAGAAGUAUGCGGAAUGCGUGGUGUAGCGGUGAAAUGCAUAGAUAUCACGCAGAACGCCGAUUGCGAAGGCAGCAUACCGGCGCGCAACUGACGCGCAUGCACGAAAGCGUGGGUAUCGAACAGGAUUAGAUACCCUAGUAGUC